This 399-nucleotide unclassified non-coding RNA is filed under the name Hevea brasiliensis (rubber tree). Lineage: Eukaryota; Viridiplantae; Streptophyta; Magnoliopsida; Malpighiales; Euphorbiaceae. The record is from RNAcentral.
GAAGGCAACUCUUGCCCACCCCUGAGAAGUUAAACAACAAGAACAAUUGAAAUAUUUAGUUCAAUGUCACUUGCAGAUCAAACUUAGGAUUAUGCAAAUCCAGUAAAGGACAUGAAUUUUCCAAUUAAAAAAAAAAAAAGCAAUAUAACAACAACAUAUUAAUGAGAAGCACAUGCUAGAACUUAUAGGAUUAGACAUUCUCCAGCAGACAGUUCAAAACUAUAAAUUACACACCAAGCAUGUAAGUCUGGAUAUUUAUGUUUGGUGAACUUUUGAACCACAUUAAACCAGUGUGUUCUCUUAAGAAAAUGGAUCAGGUCCAACUCACUCAAAAAGCUAGCUCAAGGGAGUAAAAUGUCCAAGGCCUUAUAGGGAGUACAUUACCCCUAUCCCAAACCA